GUACUCACGUUUUAUAAAAAUUCAUGUUUUUAGAUCAGGUGACUGUUGGACCCUAGAUCGAGGAGUCCCCGUAGUGCAUCUCCUGGGUAUGUGUCUGGCAUUCGAUAGUAAUCCGUUUGAUUGUAAAUGUCUCCGUUGGAAGUCAUGGGUCUUUUUGUAUUAUGAAUACAAUCUAACAAUGUAAAUAUGUGUAUGAAAUGUAAAUUGCUAAAUACAUGACUGGUAUAGUGCAUGUAUAUUAUUAUCGAUAAUGCCAUUAUGUUUUGGCUAUGUUCACACCCAAAAAAAAAGUGUGUGUGUAUGCAUGAUAUGAUAAAUUUGUUAAGCAAAGGUAAACGGAUAGGCUUGCUUGGGCUUAGUGAGCUAUGCUCAUUGAGCUCAUUCGUCGAUCAUGGCUCGAGAAAUUGGGUCGUGACAAUGUUGGUAUCAGAGCCCUAGGUUGUUUAGGUCCUAGGGUGUUAUGGUCAGGUCCAGCGGAGAGUCGGGUUUUUAUGUGCGAUUUUUAAUUAUGAACUGUGAGCCGCGGCACAUUUCAUAAUCGAGGAACCGCAUAAAUUCCCAAUCUUAGAAACCACCUUAUCUCUUUAACUGUGGUUAAUGACAAGUGUUUGCUCUUGUCUAGGUAAGAAUGCCACCUAAGACACGGGUCACCUUAAGACAAGUGAGGGAGCAAGAUGCCCCUACUGAGAUGACUAAUAGGCCACGGGCACCCACUCGUAGGGGGUGAGGUAGACGUGGCAUGGUCGCUAGGCCGGUGAGAGCGAGUACGCCUAUGAAUAGGAAAGAUGAGGGACAGCCUUUAGGUGAGACUGUUAGGCCACCGGCGAAAGGCAUUACUGUUGAGGACUUGGUAGCGGGUCUGCAGAGAGUCAAUCGGGUUGUAAAAAUGAUGGCAGCCCGUAUGGAGUAUAUACAGAAAAUAGUAGAGGGGAGACAUGUGGAGCAAGAGUCUCCUAGUUCCCAAAGCCAGACAGAUCGCCAACCUCCCGAGGGUUAUCAAAGUCGUAGAGACUUUAGUAGUGGGAUUUCAUUUUCUAACUGUCAAGGCCCAUAUAGGGAAUUAAGGUUACCCCAACAUGGGAGUAACGUGAUGAGUACCAAUGUUGAGUCAGGGCAGGAAGCUUUUGUUGGAAGGAGGCAGCAAGAUUCUAGAUAGAGUAGUCAAGUCAUUCGCUCUUGUGAUACUUGUGGGAGACGACAUAGUGGACGGUGCUUCCUUACUACAAGAACUUGUUACGGGUGCGGUCAACCUGGGCAUAUUAGGAGGGAUUGUCCGAUGGGACAUCAAUCACCAGAUUCUGCUCAUGGUUCCACCCAGCCAACUUCAUCUGCUUCGUCAGUUGCUGUCUCAUCUGGCCGGGAGGUUAGUGGAUCGAUAGGUAGAGGUGCCGAUACUUCCUCUCAAGGCAGACCAUCUGGGUCCGGACAUCAAAGUUUUGUUGGUAGAGGCCAGGCAAGGGUGUUUGCUUUAACACAGCAGGAGGCUCAAACAUCCAAUGAGGUGGUCUCAGGUAUUCUUUCCGUUUGUAAUAUGAAUGCUCGGGUACUAUUUAAUCCUAGUGCUACCCAUUCUUUUAUCUCUCCAUGUUUUGCAUCUCGGUUGGGUAGAGAUCGUGUUAGGAGAGAGGAACAAUUAGUGGUGUCUACUCCUUUAAAGGAGAUAGUUGUGGUUGAGUGAGAAUAUGAGUCCUGUGUAGUGCGAGUCAAGGACAAAGACACUUCGGUGAAUCUAGUGGUGCUAGACACCUUAGACUUUGAUGUAAUCUUGGGGAUGGAUUGGUUAUCACCCUGCCAUGCUAAUGUGGACUGCUAUCAUAAAUUGGUUAGAUUUGAUUUCCCUAGUGAACCAUCAUUUAGUAUUCAGGGGGAUAGGAGUAAUGCUCCAACCAAUUUAAUAUCGGUCAUAUCUGUCAGAAGAUUAUUAAGACAGGGUUGUAUAGGUUACUUGGCUGUUGUAAAGGAUACUCAGGCGAAGAUUGGAGAUGUAACUCAAGUGUCGAUGGUGAAAGAGUUCGUGGAUGUAUUUCCUGAGGAGCUACCAGGUUUGCCUCCUGAACGGGAGAUUGAGUUUUGCAUAGAUUUGAUUCCCGACACUAGACCUAUAUCCAUACCCCCAUAUAGAAUGGCACCUGCAGAGCUUAAAGAGCUUAAGGAUCAGUUGGAGGAUUUGUUGGAUAAAGGUUUCAUACGACCUAGUGUAUCCCCAUGGGGAGCACCAGUGUUAUUUGUGAAGAAGAAAGAUGGGUCACUUAGGCUGUGCAUUGAUUAUCGACAGCUUAAUAAAGUGACGGUGAAGAAUAAAUAUCCUCUCCCAAGGAUAGAUGAUUUAUUUGAUCAACUACAAGGAGCACAAUGUUUUUCUAAGAUAGAUCUGCGAUCUGGGUACCAUCAGUUGAGAAUCCGGAACGAAGAUAUACCCAAGACCGCAUUUCGAACAAGAUAUGGGCACUAUGAGUUCUUAGUGAUGUCAUUUGGGCUCACGAAUGCUCCUGCAGCCUUUAUGGAUUUGAUGAACCGAGUGUUCAAACCUUAUUUGGAUAAGUUUGUGGUGGUGUUUAUUGAUGACAUUUUGAUAUAUUCAAAGAGUCGAGAGGAGCAUGAGCAGCAUCUUAAGAUAGUGCUCCAAAUUUUGAGAGAACAUCGAUUGUAUGCUAAGUUCUCCAAGUGUGAGUUUUGGCUCGAAAGUGUUGCAUUCUUGGGGCAUGUGGUAUCUAAGGAGGGGAUACAAGUUGAUACAAAGAAAAUUGAAGCAGUGGAAAAAUGGCCAAGGCCAACAUCAGUUACGGAGAUUAGAAGCUUUGUGGGUUUAGCUGGCUAUUAUCGUCGCUUUGUGAAGGACUUCUCCAAAAUAGUUGCCCCUUUGACUAAGCUGACACGUAAAGAUACAAAAUUUGAGUGGUCUGAUGCUUGUGAGAAUAGUUUUGAGAAGCUUAAGGCAUGUCUCACCACAGCUCCAGUGUUAAGCCUGCCGCAAGGCACAGGGGGUUACACGGUGUUUUGUGAUGCAUCGGGGGUUGGUUUAGGAUGUGUAUUGAUGCAACAUGGGAAGGUGAUUGCGUAUGCAUCUAGGCAACUUAAAAGGCAUGAGCAGAAUUACCCCAUACACGAUUUGGAAAUGGCAGCAAUCGUGUUUGCCUUAAAGAUUUGGAGACAUUACUUGUAUGGUGAGACUUGCGAGAUAUACACGGACCACAAAAGUCUGAAGUAUAUAUUUCAGCAGAGGGAUCUUAACUUACGGCAACGUAGAUGGAUGGAGUUGCUAAAGGAUUAUGAUUGUACUAUUCUUUAUCAUCCCGGUAAGGCCAAUGUAGUGGCGGAUGCCUUGAGUCGAAAAUCAAUGGGAAGCUUGGCACAUAUUUCCAUUGGUAGGAGAUCUUUGGUUAGAGAGAUCCAUAGCUUGGGAGACAUAGGUGUGCGUUUGGAAGUUGCGGAGACAAAUGCUUUACUAGCACACUUUAGAGUGAGGCCUAUUUUAAUGGACAGGAUUAAAGAAGCACAAAGUAAAGAUGAGUUUGUGAUUAAGGCCUUAGAGGAUCCUCAGGGUAGGAAAGGAAAAAUGUUUACUAAAGGCACAGAUGGAGUGUUGAGGUAUGGAACCAGACUUUAUGUGCCUGAUGGUGACGGGUUGAGGAGAGAAAUAUUGGAGGAAGCUCACAUGGCAGCUUAUGUGGUACAUCCAGGGGCUACAAAGAUGUAUCAAGAUUUGAAAGAGGUGUAUUGGUGGGAAGGACUUAAGAGAGAUGUAGCUGAGUUUGUCUCCAAGUGCCUGGUUUGUCAGCAGGUUAAGGUCGAGCAUCAAAAGCCUGCAGGGCUACUACAGCCAUUACCAGUACCCGAGUGGAAGUGGGAACAUAUUGCUAUGGACUUUGUAACGGGUUUGCCUCGAACCAGUGGGGGAUAUGAUUCAAUUUGGAUAGUAGUGGACCGGUUAACAAAGUCAGCUCAUUUUCUUCCGGUUAAGACUACUUAUGGGGCUGCCCAAUAUGCUCGAGUUUAUGUGGAUGAGAUAGUGCGACUACAUGGUAUUCCCAUUUCUAUAGUAUCUGACAGAGGAGCUCAGUUUACUAGUAGGUUUUGGGGAAAGUUGCAAGAAGCAUUGGGCACUAAGUUGGAUUUCAGCACAGCUUUCCACCCUCAGACUGAUGGACAGUCUGAACGGACCAUACAGACAUUGGAGGAUAUGUUGAGGGCUUGUGUGAUAGACCUUGGUGUCAGGUGGGAACAAUAUCUACCCUUAGUGGAAUUUGCCUACAACAACAGUUUCCAAACUAGCAUCCAAAUGGCACCAUUUGAGGCCUUAUAUGGACGAAGAUGUAGGUCACCCAUUGGAUGGCUAGAGGUGGGAGAAAGGAAACUUUUGGGGCCUGAAUUGGUGCAGGAUGCAACCGAGAAAAUACACAUGAUCCGUCAGAGGAUGUUAACAGCACAAAGUAGACAGAAAUCAUAUGCUGAUAACCGACGGAGAGACUUGGAGUUCCAAGUAGGAGAUCAUGUAUUUUUGAAAGUUUCGCCAACUAAAGGGGUAAUGAGGUUUGGCAAGAAAGGGAAGUUAAGUCCUCGGUAUAUAGGGCCAUUCGAGAUCUUAGAAAAGGUUGGAGCGGUGGCUUAUCGUUUGGCAUUACCGCCAGACCUUUCUAAUAUUCAUCCCGUGUUUCAUGUGUCCAUGCUUAGGAAGUACAACCCAGAUCCAUCACAUGUAAUACGGUAUGAAACUAUUCAGUUGCAAGAUGAUCUAACCUAUGAGGAACAACCGGUAGCUAUCCUUGAUAGGCAAGUUAAAAAGCUCCGUUCAAAGGAUGUAGCCUCAGUGAAAGUGUUGUGGCGGAAUCACACUAGCGAGGAGGUAACGUGGGAAGCUGAGGAUGAGAUGCGGACAAAGCAUCCACACCUCUUCGAUAUGUAAAGGUAAGCCACUCUACAUUGAAUUUAAAUUCGGGGACCGAAUUUUUAUUAGUGGGGGAAAAUGUGAGACCCUGUCAAGCUCGAUUAAAAGACGGUAUUGUAUCGAGUGGUACAACUAAGUUAAAUCGAGCCUUGAACUAGUUCAAAUAGAAAUUCUAAGAGGAAUUUGAAAAUUUUAAAACCAACAGAAUGGCUUAGAAUAGUGAUUUGGAGUUCAAGGUCCAGUUUGGAGUCCAUCAGAAAAUUGACCAAUUAGGGACAAAACGGUCAUUUUACCAUUUGAUGAUAAAAUGGAGAUUUUUAGCCAAGAUUUGAUCACAUUUGACCAAGAAUAAUUAUAUGAAAUAUAAUUAUGAUUAUUGGAGUAUAAAAUGAUGUUUAGUAGUGAAAAAUUGUGAUUCCCGGUAUUUAUGGAGCAGAAGGGCAAAAUGGUAAUUUUGCCACUAGUGGACUAAACGAAAAUUUUUUUAAACAAUUUUUGCCCCAUUUGGUUAAUAUUGAUCAAUAUUAGUGUUAUUUUAGGUUGAAAAGUAGAAAUAAUGAGAUUCCGGUACAUUUCGGAGUAUAAGGGCAAAAUCGUAAUUUUUUUGUCUCGGGGGCAAAUCAGUAAAAUUUUCGGCCCAGCACUUGUCAAGACCAAGGGAUUUUAAUUGUGGUAGGAUUGGAUAAAUACCAGAAUAUUUGUGGUGGAAAAUUAAGAAGAAAAAGUCAAAAAGUUAAAAAUUGGGCCAAUAAGCAUGUGACACAUGGCAUGCUUGAUUAUUUUAUUAUUUUCUAUAGAAAUCAGCCCAUUAAAUCCCCAAUUCCCUCACCAUAUUCGGCCUAGACAUCCAGCAACAAGAAAAAAGGAAGAACAAAAGGAAAAACAAGAAAACCUAGGUGGAAAUUCAAAGAAAAAGUGAAGAAAUCAAGGAAACAAGCUAGGUAAGUUAAAAUUUCUUUAAUUCUCCUUGAUACCUAGCUUACCCAUGCUUUUGUUCUUGAUUUCCAUGGUUGAAUAUUGAGUUAUCAUGAUGAAUUCAAUUCUGAAAAAUGGGUAUGGAAGAGGAAUUGUUGUUGGAAUAAUUUGAUUUUAGACUAUGUUAGUGUUUAGGGAUAGUUAAGCAUGGUUAUGAACAAAAACACAAAAGAAAUAUUCAAUUUCUCUAGGGUUCCUUGUUGGCCGAACCAUGAGGGCUGAAUAUCAAUGGGGGAUUGUUUUUAUUUCAAGGAAAAUGGCAUGGAAAAUGAUGAAGUAAGGUGAAACGGUUAUGUAGAAAAAAAUUCGAUGCUAGUACACCAAAUGACCAAAUUUUUUCUAUAAGGAAUUGUGAGGGUUCUAAUGCUGAAUUUGGCUUUAUUUAAAUGUAUGUGGUAAAUUAAGGUAUUAGAGGAGAAAUGAAUUAAUUUGGAGGUGAUUUGGACACAAUCGCCGAUUAAUCGGGUGAUCGGUCGAAUUUAAUCGAUACCGUGAUUAAGCGGUAAUCGGACAUAUUUUUGCAUUUACAUAUCAAGCAUUAGUAGUUUAAAUUAAUUUAUAUCAAUUUAGGGACAAUAUAGUAAAUUCCUCGACUUUGUUAUUUGUCAAGGUGGUGAGACGUCCGGAAAAGGCAAAGGAAUUACGCCUGAGGACUAUUAGUCAGAGUUCACCCGGAAUUCGGAUUUUCGACACCUGUGAGUGGACUGCCUAUCAAAAUUGUUUUGGGAAUAUGACUGUUUUGAACAAAGUGUUUGAAUGAUUUUAUGCAAUUUUUCAUGAAAAUGAAUGCCUUGGGAACAAGCUUUUGAGAAAAGGUUUAUGUUAUGAAAUGUGGUUAUUAUGGAUUUCUAUGUGGCUGCAUUAUGUUGAUAUACAUAUAUGCUUGAAUAUAAUGUUGUGUAAUUAUGUUGACUCGGCUAUGUGCGAGUAGGGAGUGCGCAUAAGCCGAGGAUGACCCGGUUAUGUGCGAGUAGGGAGUGCGCAUAACCCGGUGAUGACCCGGUUAUGUGCGAGUAGGGAGUGUGCAUAACCCGGUGAUGACCCAGCCAUGUGCGAGUAGGGAGUGCGCAUGAGCUGGUGAUGAUGAUGAUGAGCUGGUGAUGAUGAUGAUGGGUUGGUGAGAUGAUGAUGAUGGGUAUAUAUAUAUAUAUAUAUAUAUACAUAUGUAAAUAUGUGUGAUAUAGCAAAUUGAUGGACAAUGAUUUAUGGUUGUAAUGUACAUGAAAGUUGACACAUUGUACUUUGAGAAUUUUCAUGAAUUUUAGGUUGAUUUUAUUAGUUUAGCAGGAUGGCUUUUUGUUGAGUGAGGAAAAAUGUUUCUCUUGUUGCUCUGUUUUCACUGCAGCGAAAUUCAUGCUCGCUGUAGCGAAAAACUCUCGGGUUUGGAAGGGUUUUAAAUAGGAAUUAACUAAAUUGCAUUGUUUUGAAAUAAGUGCUUCAUGAUUUUAAAUUCUCCCUAAUUGUUGCUUGUUCCCUUCCUUGUUCACUCACUGAGUAUUGUAUUCACGUUUUAUAAAAAUUCAUGUUUUCAGAUCAGGUGACUGUUGGAACCUAGAUUGAGGAGUCCCCGUAGUGCAUCUCCUGGGUAUGUGUCUGGCAUUCGAUAGUAAUCCCUUUUAUUGUAAAUGUCUUCGCUGGAAGUCAUGGGUCCUUUUGUAUUAUGAAUACAAUCUAACAAUGUGAAUAUGUGUAUGCAAUGUAAAUUGCUAUAUAC
This 7574-nucleotide long non-coding RNA is filed under the name Theobroma cacao (cacao). RNAcentral describes it as "long non-coding RNA (TCAC_LNC002359)". The record is from RNAcentral. Lineage: Eukaryota; Viridiplantae; Streptophyta; Magnoliopsida; Malvales; Malvaceae.